This 324-nucleotide ribosomal RNA is filed under the name uncultured eukaryote. RNAcentral describes it as "partial 18S ribosomal RNA". It matches the Rfam family "Eukaryotic small subunit ribosomal RNA", at positions 1470 to 1796 of the family's 1831-position model. The record is from RNAcentral.
CCCUUAGAUGUUCUGGGCUGCACGCGCGCUACACUGAAGCGUUCAACGAGUAUUCACCUUGCCCGGGAGGGUUGGGUAAUCUUUUGAAAACGCUUCGUGAUGGGGAUAGAUUAUUGCAAUUAUUGGUCUUCAACGAGGAAUUCCUAGUAGACGUAGUUCAUCAGACUGCAUCGAUUACGUCCCUGCCCUUUGUACACACCGCCCGUCGCUCCUACCGAUUGAAUGCUCAGGUGAGCCAUUCGGACUUUCAUCAUGCUGGUUUCCAGUUUUGAUGAAGGAAAGUCUUGCGAACCUUAUCAUUUAGAGGAAGGAGAAGUCGUAACA